UGGUAGUCCACGCCGUAAACGAUGAGCACUAGGUGUCGGGGGUCGCAAGAUUUCGGUGCCGUAGUUAACGCAUUAAGUGCUCCGCCUGGGGAGUACGUUCGCAAGAAUGAAACUCAAAGGAAUUGACGGGGACCCGCACAAGCAGCGGAGCAUGUGGUUUAAUUCGAAGCAACGCGAAGAACCUUACCAGGACUUGACAUCCUUCUGACAGGACCUUAACCGGUCCCUCCUUCGGGCAGAAGAGACAGGUGGUGCAUGGUUGUCGUCAGCUCGUGUCGUGAGAUGUUGGGUUAAGUCCCGCAACGAGCGCAACCCUUGUCAUUAGUUGCCAUCAUUUAGUUGGGCACUCUAAUGAGACUGCCGGGGAUAACUCGGAGGAAGGUGGGGAUGACGUCAAAUCAUCAUGCCCCUUAUGUCCUGGGCUACACACGUGCUACAAUGGCUGGUACAAAGAGACGCAAGACCGCGAGGUGGAGCAAAUCUUCAAAACCAGUCCCAGUUCGGAUUGUAGGCUGAAACUCGCCUGCAUGAAGUCGGAGUUGCUAGUAAUCGUGAAUCAGAAUGUCACGGUGAAUGCGUUCCCGGGUCUUGUACACACCGCCCGUCACACCAUGGAAGCUGGGGGCGCCCAAAGUUGGUCGAGAAAUAGAUUACCUAAGGCGAAAUCAGUGACUAGGGUGAAGUCGUAAUCAAGGUAACCGUA
This 703-nucleotide ribosomal RNA is filed under the name uncultured bacterium. Its description in RNAcentral is "bacterial SSU rRNA". It matches the Rfam family "Bacterial small subunit ribosomal RNA", at positions 788 to 1504 of the family's 1533-position model. The record is from RNAcentral.